RNAcentral lists this ribosomal RNA (310 nucleotides) under uncultured eukaryote. RNAcentral describes it as "partial 18S ribosomal RNA". It matches the Rfam family "Eukaryotic small subunit ribosomal RNA", at positions 1470 to 1796 of the family's 1831-position model. The record is from RNAcentral.
CCCUUAGAUGUUCUGGGCCGCACGCGCGCUACACUGAUACGUUCAACAAGUUCCUUGGCCGAAAGGUCUGGGUAAUCUUUGAAACCGUAUCGUGAUGGGGAUAGAACAUUGCAAUUAUUGUUCUUCAACGAGGAAUGCCUAGUAAGCGCGAGUCAUCAACUCGCGUUGAUUACGUCCCUGCCCUUUGUACACACCGCCCGUCGCACCUACCGAUUGAAUGGUCCGGUGAAGCCUCCGGAUUGGCGCGCACCUCGGUGCCGCCGAGAAGUUGGCUAAACCUUACCAUUUAGAGGAAGGUGAAGUCGUAACA